This 493-nucleotide ribosomal RNA is filed under the name uncultured bacterium. Its description in RNAcentral is "partial 16S ribosomal RNA". It matches the Rfam family "Bacterial small subunit ribosomal RNA", at positions 29 to 507 of the family's 1533-position model. The record is from RNAcentral.
ACGAACGCUGGCGGCGUGCUUAACACAUGCAAGUCGAACGGUGAAGCGCCUUCCUUUUUGGUGGGUGUGGAUGAGUGGCGAACGGGUGAGUAACACGUGAGUAACCUGCCCCCUUCUUCUGGAUAACCGCAUGAAAGUGUGGCUAAUACGGGAUAUUCUGGGUCUGUCGCAUGAUGGGUCUGGGAAAGAUAUUGUUUCGGUGGGGGAUGGGCUCGCGGCCUAUCAGCUUGUUGGUGGGGUGAUGGCCUACCAAGGCGGUGACGGGUAGCCGGCCUGAGAGGGUGGACGGUCACACUGGGACUGAGACACGGCCCAGACUCCUACGGGAGGCAGCAGUGGGGAAUAUUGCGCAAUGGGCGCAAGCCUGAUGCAGCGACGCCGCGUGAGGGAUGGAGGCCUUCGGGUUGUGAACCUCUUUCGCCAGUGAAGCAGGCCUGCCUCGUUUGUGGGUGGGUUGACGGUAGCUGGAUAAGAAGCGCCGGCUAACUACGUG